This 1965-nucleotide ribosomal RNA is filed under the name Triticum aestivum (bread wheat). Its description in RNAcentral is "partial small subunit ribosomal RNA". Lineage: Eukaryota; Viridiplantae; Streptophyta; Magnoliopsida; Poales; Poaceae. The record is from RNAcentral.
UGGCGUCGUGUCGUGAUCUGGAGCGAGGCGGGGGUGUGAGGAUGAGUGGAGGAUGAUGCCGUGCCGUGGUGGUGGGUCGUGCCGGCAGGUGGAGCGGCUUCGUCUCAUCGGUACCGACGCGGGGGUCGCUAGGGCGCGGCGCCGGAGAAGUAGCCGCCGCCCACCGCGCUCGGGUGGGACCCGGCGGCGUAGGGGCAGUAGUUGGGCCGGUGGCUCCUGUGGUAGCCACUGUAGGGCCGUCGGUGGCGCCUCCUGCAGCUCGAGCGGCAGCGCCGCCGAGCUAGACGCAAGAACGAGCUACCGCCCUCGGCGACCCGCGCGCGAAGGCCCCGCUGCGCCCGGUUCAUAGACUUGCGCUAGCGGCGAUUCUAAUUUCUUUUCUAUAGCAUAGACCGUAACGACCUCUGUCAACUAAGACCUUUCGGGUUCCUGCUUCGUCAACGCCUGUACCUGCUACAACGACGUACGAAACUCAAGAUACGACCAGACCGACUUCGGAAUCUACCAUUUGUUGUACGCGGUUAGAGAGACGGGUACCUUCUUAAGUUCUGGAUACAAGAAUUUCUUGGGUAGCCCCAACAACCUGAGUAGUGAGGGACCUUGAUAGGAGACAACUACCGAUGAACCUUCCAACGUGGACGGGACCGACGACCCACAUGUCGACACAAUUUUGGUAGACUCGACCGAAGAGAUUGAACGAAUCUCGAGCCACGUUAUACACUUCUCUAUCCUGACGGAAGUCCUCAAGACUUGUAUUAAUGACCAGACCCGGGACUGCGACCACGAGGUUAUCGAAGUGUAGGGGUACACCUAUUCUAACGAAAAUGUCCUUCAUGGCGUUGACCAUUCUGCUAUUACUGGCGACGACGGGUUUACCAAUUCGGACAAAGUAAUCUCGAACCACCGUUUUCAGGAGAACAAUAGAAACUACUACAACGACUGUAACUGUUUCGACAACUUACCCGGUACAAACCAACAAAAAAGUUAUCACCAGUUCAAACGUCACGUUGUAGAGCAGAUGAAGAGGUACUCUUUUAACGUCUCACUAAAAAUCUAUCUGAUCAACUUACCCGUUUCUUGUAUUUUUAGAGUCUGGGUGACCUUCUUCCAACAUCCGACCCAAGUCAGUAGUCGUUUCCCGUCAUACUUUUCUAAUUCUUCAAGUAGAGGUGUCGUUCUUCACUUCCACGAUGUUAAAACGUACCACCACUGGCUGGUUUCGUAGAGCCUUUUCCCAAGAAAUAACUUGGAUGUUAAUAUUGUCUACAAUCGUGUAGUUACGUUUAAACCUCUCUCCUUCAGAAACCUGGUCAGUAGACACAGUUUCAUAAGUUCUGUCUCUCGCUUCGACAUCUCGAACGUUUACUAUGGGUGAUACCGAACCGACCACCACACUAGAGACUACUAGAUCUCUCCACACUCGCGUAACGUUUCCAAUAAGUGAGUCCGUAACAAACCUAUUUGACGAGCGUUGGCUGGGAACAAGUUCGAGGCACCCCUCCCUUGUUCGCCUCACCAAAACCGGCCCUCGAUCCUCUUACCCCGGAGCUCUUGAUGAACUCGCACUUCGUUCAGUGGUCCAUGACGUUUCUACUCGAUAUGCCUACCAUGGUCGCGGGUAGGUUCGACAUCUACUGAACUCUACAGUACUCUUAUCUCGGAGCAAGUAACUUUUCCGCUCAAGAUAGGACCGACCCUGAAGACAUGUCACGAAAGCGUUAUUCGGUAGUACACCGUUUGAACCAAUACUAUCGCACAGUAGCUCGGACACUGUCUACGCCAACCAGUUUUUGAACGAUUUCAUUUUUUGCUGUAAUGCAAGAAGACGAAAGCAACAUAGACAAAUACAAGAAAAUAACGUUAAACAACAACCAUCGAAUGGUUCGACCGACGAACCAAUAUGAGGGAGGCAGAGUUUUAAGAACAGAAUCUAAUCAGAUUUGUGCCUACAUAGAUCAUGAUUUC